This 821-nucleotide ribosomal RNA is filed under the name uncultured Bacillota bacterium. Its description in RNAcentral is "bacterial SSU rRNA". It matches the Rfam family "Bacterial small subunit ribosomal RNA", at positions 74 to 902 of the family's 1533-position model. The record is from RNAcentral. Lineage: Bacteria; Bacillati; Bacillota.
GGGUAGCAAUACCUGAGUAAAGCGGCGCACGGGUGAGUAACACGUGGAUAACCUGCCUCGAAGUGGGGAAUAACCCCGGGAAACCGGAGCUAAUACCGCAUAUUCUGACGAGAUCUGCGGAUUUUGUCAGGAAAGGAGCAAUUCGCUUUGAGAGGGGUCCGCGGCUGAUUAGCUAGUUGGUGAGGUAAUGGCUCACCAAGGCCACGAUCAGUAGCCGGUCUGAGAGGACGGUCGGCCACACUGGAACUGAGACACGGUCCAGACUCCUACGGGAGGCAGCAGUGGGGAAUUUUUCGCAAUGGGGGCAACCUUGACGAAGCAACGCCGCGUGGGUGAUGAAGUAUUUCGGUACGUAAAACCCUUUCGACGGGGAAGAAACCGCAAGGUUGACGGUACCCGUAGAAGAAGCCCCGGCUAACUCCGUGCCAGCAGCCGCGGUAAUACGGGGGGGGCAAGCGUUGUUCGGAAUUACUGGGCGUAAAGGGCGCGUAGGCGGUUCGCUAAGUUGAAUGUGAAAACUCUGGGCUUAACCCAGAGCCUGCAUCCAAAACUGGCGAACUGGAGUACUGGAGGGGAAAGCGGAAUUCCUGGUGUAGCGGUGAAAUGCGUAGAUAUCAGGAGGAACACCGGUGGCGAAGGCGGCUUUCUGGACAGUAACUGACGCUGAGGCGCGAAAGCCGGGGGAGCAAACAGGAUUAGAUACCCUGGUAGUCCCGGCCCUAAACUAUGGAUACUUGGUGUGAGGGGGAUUGAAUCCCUUCGUGCCGUAGCUAACGCAAUAAGUAUCCCGCCUGGGGAGUACGGUCGCAAGGCUGAAACUC